RNAcentral lists this long non-coding RNA (2668 nucleotides) under Sus scrofa (pig). RNAcentral describes it as "lncRNA (ENSSSCG00040060648.1)". Lineage: Eukaryota; Metazoa; Chordata; Mammalia; Artiodactyla; Suidae. The record is from RNAcentral.
CAUUUCUUGGGCCGCUUCCCGCGGCAUAUGGGGGUUCCCAGGCUAGGGGUCUAAUCGGAGCUGUAGCCGCCGGCCUACACCAGAGCCACAGCAAUACAGGAUCCGAGCCGCGUCUGCGACCUACACCACAGCUCACGGCAACGCCGGGUCCUAACCCACUGAGUAAGGCCAGGGCUCGAACCCGCAACCUCAUGGUUCCUUGUCAGAUUCGUUAACCACUGAGCCAUGACAGGAACUCCCAAUUAAGUCUUUUAAAACUCCAGAUAAGAUCAUAAUUCAAUAUUUUUGCUAUAACAAUCUCUCUCAUACAUGUGCAUAUAUGUGUGUGUUUUACACUAACACACACACACACACAGAAUAAACUUACUUCACAUUUAUCUCUUCCUUUUUUUCAGAACAAUCAAUUUAAAAACUGUCUACUCUUUGUUUUCUUGGUCAUGUCCAAGACAUAUGGAAAUUCCCAGGCUAGGGGUUGAAUUGGAGCUAUAGCUACCAGCCUACACCACAGCCGCAAUAACACCAGAUCUGAGCCUUUUCUUCGACCUACACCACAGCUCAUGGCAAUGCAGGAUCCUUAACCCACUACCUCAUGGAUACCAGUCGGAUUUGCUUCAGCUUCACCACAGUGAGAACUCCAUCAUAAAUAUACAUUUGGAAAAUUUAAUAUGCUAUGUUGUCACGUGUGAUUGCAUACACAUACGUGUGAAUCAAGACUAAAAAGAAACGAUAAACAGAGAACCAACCCCCCCUGAUAAUUCAGAAGAAGGGGGGAGAUAACUGUAAAAUUUAUACUUUCAAGCAGUAGAAAAAUAUAGGUUGUCUAAUAAUUCUUAUGUAGGAACUUUACACAUAUAACCAGCAUUGAACCAAAGAGAGGCCGAUCCAAACUCUUGAACAUGGCAGCCCAUCCACCCAUCUCAUAAAGACUUUUUUUCUUUUCUUUCUUUCUUUUUUUUUUUUUUUUUUGUCUUUUUAGGGCCAUACUCUUGGCAUACGGAGGUUCCCAGGCUAGGGGUUGAAUUGGAGCUGCCGCCCUGCACCACAGCCAGGGAUCGAAUCUGCGCCCUCAUGGAUACUAGUCCGGUUCGUAGCCAACUGAGCCACAAUGGGAACUCCAAGAUUUCUUUUCAUGUUAGCAGCUAUACACAUCUGCCAUGUAAGGAUAAGUUGCAGAAAGCCUCUAUCAGGCUUUAUAACUUGUAUAAAUUGCAAGUUAUUAGAACAAAAUCACCUUUAAUUUGAAAAUAAAUGUAAACAAUCAGAUCAAGCUAUGCAAGUGUUUAUAUCAUCACAGCCAAUCAAGAAUUAUUACCAGUACCUAUCACCUGGUAGGUCUAUUCACCAUAUGGCUACCAAGGACCAUUCACUAGUUAUAAUAAGUGCUGAUAUUAUGUUUUACCUCAGGAGAAAACAAUCACAUGAUUAUAGUUCUACUGAAAGUUUUUAGUUAAGGCUCAUCACCUUAUGACAUGAAAAGAGUAACAAAUCUAAAGACUUUGGAAAGACCCAUCCCCCAGCCAGGAUGCACGCAUUACCAGCCAAAUUAUGAGGGGACUCUGCAUCACGUGGAAUCAGUGGGACCCCUUGGAAUACAAGACAGGAUUUAUAUCUUGUAAUAAACCGAACAGAUUUUUGCACAGAGCCCUAAUUCAGGUGAGCAGAUGCUCUGUCCCUCUGCAGUCGACAAGAAGAUGGAACUGUCCCUCUGCAGAGUCAGAACGAGACCCUCUUAUAUUCUCUGCACUGAGUUAUCGAAUGUAGAUAUUCAUUGACCUUGUGUUUUUCUUUUUACCACCACACCCAUGACAUAUGGAAGUUCCUAAGCAAGGGGUUGAAUUGGUGCUGUAGUUGCUGGCCUACACCACAGCCAAGCCACAUCCACAAACUACACUGCAGCUCACAGCAACGAUGGAUCUUUAACUCACUGAGCAAGGCCAGGGAUUGAGCCCAAAAUAAAUAAACUGAUUCCUAUAGAAGAGGAAGGGAAUUAGGGACAGAGAUAGAAGCUAUGCUUGUCUGAAUAUAUUUAUUUUGUAGAUUCGACUCUAGAACUAUAUGAAUAUUUAACAUAAGAGUAAUGCAAACUUACCUCAAAAUGUGUUGGCAAUUUAUGUCUCCUUUUUUUCCUGAUCAGUCUGUCUGGAGGUUGAUCAAUUUUAUUGAUCUCUUCAGAGAACCAGCUUUCGGCCUCAUUGAUUUUCUCUAAUGUUUGCCUGUCUCCUAUUUUAUUGAUUUCCUCUCUUAUCUUAUUUCUUUCCCUCCACUCACUUUGAGUUUAAUUUGCUCUCUAUUUUCUAGUUUCUUAAGGUGGAAGUUUGAUAUUAGAAAUUUCUUCUUUACUAAUGCAAAUAUUUACACAGCUAUAAAUGUCUCCCUAAGAAUAUUGCCUCUGUGUGUGUACGUGUUUGCAAAGAUUUUGUUUUUAAAUUACAAACCCAACUUCUUUAAAUACGUACAGAGAUAUACAAAUUGUCUAUUUCUUUUUAUGCCAGUUUGCGUCAUUUCUCUUUUUCAAUGGCUUUUCAAGGGACAGCCUGGCUGUUCAGUGCAGCCCCUCCAUUCAGGUUGGAACCCAGCAUUUUCUGAGCUCUCUCAUAGUUGCUAUUUGUCUGCCCUGCAGUUAUUAUGUACAUUAAGUGUGUGCAUAGUUUCAGGGGUGUCAUUUCUU